GUUUCCUAAUGACAAAAUAAAAUAAUAAUGUGGUCCUGUUAACAAUAUGAGCGUGAAACAUACGCGCUUCUUCAGCUUAGAUUCGUUGCGUCUAUAAACACAACACGUAGCAACUCUUUUCAUAAAAAAACACAUUUAUUAUCCUCAACAAUAAAAAAUAAAAUAAAAAACACAGUUGAACAAGGCAACGACCUCUAUUAACCGUCUGAUUCUCAAUAAAUCCAGUCGCCACUAUAAAUCAACGACUCAGAUUAGUUCAUGACGACCUACUUUAUUUAAAUUAUUUCUUUUUUUGUCGUGACCAAAUCUUUUAUAUUGUACAUUAGUCUCACUUAUUUUUAUAUUCAUAUUUCUUAGGUCGAUGUGUACCACAGUGAUUGGAACAAAAAC
Molecule: long non-coding RNA, 390 nt
Filed under: Capsella rubella
Lineage: Eukaryota; Viridiplantae; Streptophyta; Magnoliopsida; Brassicales; Brassicaceae
Description: long non-coding RNA (CRUB_LNC002061)
Source: RNAcentral